Long non-coding RNA from Amblyraja radiata (thorny skate), 120 nucleotides. RefSeq lists it as uncharacterized. The transcript is spliced from 4 exons. The record is from RefSeq and is a predicted model, not a curated record. NCBI's taxonomy places the organism in Eukaryota, Metazoa, Chordata, Chondrichthyes, Rajiformes, Rajidae.
UAGUCCCAGAAGAUAACAGGGCGUACCUUUAGCAAGGAGAUAAGAAGCAAUUUCUUUAGUCAGAGGCUUAUGAAUCUGUGGAAUUCAUUACCACAGAUGGCUGGAGCGGCCAAGGAACUG